RNAcentral lists this ribosomal RNA (235 nucleotides) under uncultured bacterium. Its description in RNAcentral is "partial 16S ribosomal RNA". It matches the Rfam family "Bacterial small subunit ribosomal RNA", at positions 333 to 585 of the family's 1533-position model. The record is from RNAcentral.
UUGUUCCUACGGGGGGCAGCAGUGGGGAAUAUUGCACAAUGGGGGAAACCCUGAUGCAGCGACGCCGCGCGAAGGAAGAAGUAUUUCGGUAUGUAAACUUCUGUCAGCAGGGAAGAAAAUGACGGUACCUGACUAAGAAGCCCCGGCUAACUACGUGCCAGCAGCCGCGGUAAUACGUAGGGGGCACGCGUUAUCCGGAUUUACUGGGGGUAAAGGGAGCGUAGGCGGCGAUGCA